AUGCAUGUCUAAGUACAAGCCAGCUUAAGGUGAAACCGCGAAUGGCUCAUUAAACCACACCUAAUGUACCGGACAGUUUCAAUUACUUGGAUAACUGCGGUAAUUCUGGAGCUAAUACAUGCCUCAAAGCCCUGACUCACGGAAGGGCGCUUUUAUUAGAUCAAAACCAAACGGCUUGUCCGUUUUUUUGGUGACUCUGAAUAACUUCUUGCUGAUCGUAUGGCUCUACGCCGACGACGUGUCCGUCCAAGGUGUGCCCUAUCAACUGUCGACUGUGGCAUAGACGCCCACAGUGGUUUUGACGGGUAACGGGGAAUUAGGGUUCGAUUCCGGAGAGGGAGCCUGAGAAACGGCUACCACU
Molecule: ribosomal RNA, 361 nt
Filed under: Pachos sp. USNM IZ 1448602
Lineage: Eukaryota; Metazoa; Arthropoda; Copepoda; Cyclopoida
Description: SSU rRNA
Rfam family: Eukaryotic small subunit ribosomal RNA
Source: RNAcentral